Molecule: ribosomal RNA, 376 nt
Filed under: uncultured bacterium
Lineage: Bacteria
Description: bacterial SSU rRNA
Rfam family: Bacterial small subunit ribosomal RNA
Source: RNAcentral
AUACGUAGGGGGCGAGCGUUGUCCGGAAUUAUUGGGCGUAAAGGGCGUGUAGGCGGCUAUGCAAGUCGGCUGUGAAACCCCCCGGCUCAACUGGGGGCUUGCAGUUGAAACUGUGUAGCUUGAGUGCAGGAGAGGAGGGUGGAAUUCCUGGUGUAGCGGUGGAAUGCGUAGAUAUCAGGAGGAACACCGGUGGCGAAGGCGGCCUUCUGGCCUGUUACUGACGCUGAGGCGCGAAAGCCAGGGGAGCGAACAGGAUUAGAUACCCUGGUAGUCCUGGCUGUAAACGCUGGGUACUAGGUGUAGGUGGUUUAAUGCCAUCUGUGCCGUAGUUAACGCACUAAGUACCCCGCCUGGGGAGUACGGUCGCAAGGCUGAA